AACGAACGCUGGCGGCAUGCCUAACACAUGCAAGUCGAACGAGACCUUCGGGUCUAGUGGCGCACGGGUGCGUAACGCGUGGGAACCUGCCCUUAGGUUCGGAAUAACUCCCCGAAAGGGGUGCUAAUACCGGAUAAUGUCUUCGGACCAAAGAUUUAUCGCCUUUGGAUGGGCCCGCGUUGGAUUAGCUAGUUGGUAGGGUAAAAGCCUACCAAGGCGACGAUCCAUAGCUGGUCUGAGAGGAUGAGCAGCCACACUGGGACUGAGACACGGCCCAGACUCCUACGGGAUGCAGCAGUGGGGAAUAUUGGACAAUGGGCGAAAGCCUGAUCCAGCAAUGCCGCGUGAGUGAUGAAGGCCUUAGGGUUGUAAAGCUCUUUUACCCGGGAUGAUAAUGACAGUACCGGGAGAAUAAGCUCCGGCUAACUCCGUG
RNAcentral lists this ribosomal RNA (433 nucleotides) under uncultured bacterium. RNAcentral describes it as "partial 16S ribosomal RNA". It matches the Rfam family "Bacterial small subunit ribosomal RNA", at positions 29 to 507 of the family's 1533-position model. The record is from RNAcentral.